RNAcentral lists this transfer RNA (73 nucleotides) under bacterium. RNAcentral describes it as "tRNA-Val". It matches the Rfam family "tRNA". Rfam says of the family: Transfer RNA (tRNA) molecules are approximately 80 nucleotides in length. Their secondary structure includes four short double-helical elements and three loops (D, anti-codon, and T loops). The record is from RNAcentral.
GGGCGCUUAGCUCAGCUGGUAGAGCGUCGCAUUUACACUGCGAAGGCCUGAGGUUCGAACCCUCAAGCGCCCA